UUUUAGAAUAAAUAAAGUAAGUAUUUAAAGAAAAGAAAACUAAUUAUAACGGCGGUGCUGGACCCACCCAGAGGGCUCUGUGUUGUAAUCGAUAACCCACGAUUAAAUGAACCUUUGAAUUUACUUCUUAUAUCAUUGUUUUAAAAGAAGAGGAAGAAAUUUUCUUUCUAAAUUAAAUUCAGUAAACAAAUCAAGACAAGGGCAAAAUGAAGGGGGAGACGGAGCACAAAAAAUCAGGGGGUUGAAGAUACUUAGAACACAAAUUGAAAAAGAAUUUGGCAUUAAAUUUUAAACAAAAUAUAAAAUUGAAAUGGCAAUUCAGCAUGUACAUAUCGCCCGUCACUUUUACUUCUGUAAA
Molecule: ribosomal RNA, 358 nt
Filed under: Epitrimerus sp. M6
Lineage: Eukaryota; Metazoa; Arthropoda; Arachnida; Trombidiformes; Eriophyidae
Description: partial small subunit ribosomal RNA
Source: RNAcentral